This 444-nucleotide ribosomal RNA is filed under the name uncultured bacterium. RNAcentral describes it as "SSU rRNA". It matches the Rfam family "Bacterial small subunit ribosomal RNA", at positions 26 to 518 of the family's 1533-position model. The record is from RNAcentral.
AGAGCGAACGCUGGCGGCAGGCCUAACACAUGCAAGUCGAGCGCCUGUAGCAAUACAGGAGCGGCAGACGGGAGAGUAACACGUGGGAACGUACCCUUCAGUUCGGAACAACCCAGGGAAACUUGGGCUAAUACCGAAUACGUCCGUAAGGAGAAAGAUUUAUCGCUGAAGGAUCGGCCCGCGUCUGAUUAGCUAGUUGGUGGGGUAAUGGCCCACCAAGGCGACGAUCAGUAGCUGGUCUGAGAGGAUGAUCAGCCUCACUGGGACUGAGACACGGCCCAGACUCCUACGGGAGGCAGCAGUGGGAAUAUUGGACAAUGGGCGCAAGCCUGAUCCAGCCAUGCCGCGUGGGUGAUGAAGGCCCUAGGGUUGUAAAGCCCUUUCGGCGGGAAGAUAAUGACGGUACCGCAGAAGAAGCCCGGCUAACUUCGUGCCAGCAGCCGC